Molecule: RNase P RNA, 333 nt
Filed under: Candidatus Omnitrophota bacterium
Lineage: Bacteria; Pseudomonadati; Candidatus Omnitrophota
Description: RNase P RNA component class A
Rfam family: Bacterial RNase P class A
About the family: Ribonuclease P (RNase P) is a ubiquitous endoribonuclease, found in archaea, bacteria and eukarya as well as chloroplasts and mitochondria. Its best characterised activity is the generation of mature 5'-ends of tRNAs by cleaving the 5'-leader elements of precursor-tRNAs. Cellular RNase Ps are ribonucleoproteins.
Source: RNAcentral
AAAGCAAAUCAGGAUGGCCGCUCCGAUGCCUUUGGCGUCGGAGAGGAAAGUCCGAGCUCCGAAGGAUAAUGCAUCCCGGUAAUGCGGGACCUCUGCCUGAAAACGGCGGAAGAGGAUCAGAGCUACAGAGACGAGUCGCCCCGCCUAUGGCGGGGCGGGUGAAACGAGCAAUCUCUGCAUGGAGCAAUGCCAAAUAGGGGAAGAUGAGGUGAUCCGCCUCGCUAUCAUUCCCGGGUAGGCUGCCAGAUAUCCCGCCGCAAGGCGGGAUGUUAGUCAAAUGGCCAUCCCCCUGUCAAAAGGGGAACAGAACUCGGCUUAUGAUUUGCUUUAUUU